AAAAAGGCAAACCCUGAGUUUCCGUGUCUAACUUUGACUGUCCGUCUUAUAUGAAAUUCUUUUAUAAUUCUUAUUUUUAUUGUUGUUAGAUGAUAAAACAUAAUUAAUAUUUUAUGCGUGACUUGUCUUUUUAAUUUUUUUCAUAAUUUUUUCAAAUAAGACGGACGGUCAAAUAUUGGGUACAGAAACC
This 190-nucleotide microRNA precursor is filed under the name Oryza sativa Japonica Group (Japanese rice). RNAcentral describes it as "MIR812 microRNA precursor family". It matches the Rfam family "MIR812 microRNA precursor family". The record is from Rfam by way of RNAcentral. Lineage: Eukaryota; Viridiplantae; Streptophyta; Magnoliopsida; Poales; Poaceae.